GCAGCCGCCGCGGUAAUACGAAGGGGGCUAGCGUUGCUCGGAAUUACUGGGCGUAAAGGGAGCGUAGGCGGAUCGUUUAGUCAGGGGUGAAAUCCCGGGGCUCAACCUCGGAACUGCCUUUGAUACUGGCGAUCUUGAGUAUGGGAGAGGUGUGUGGAACUCCGAGUGUAGAGGUGAAAUUCGUAGAUAUUCGGAAGAACACCAGUGGCGAAGGCGACACACUGGCCCAUUACUGACGCUGAGGCUCGAAAGCGUGGGGAGCAAACAGGAUUAGAUACCCCCGUAGUCCCUGUCUCUUAUAC
RNAcentral lists this ribosomal RNA (302 nucleotides) under uncultured bacterium. Its description in RNAcentral is "partial 16S ribosomal RNA". It matches the Rfam family "Bacterial small subunit ribosomal RNA", at positions 508 to 807 of the family's 1533-position model. The record is from RNAcentral.